GAAAUGCGAUACGUAAUGUGAAUUGCAAAUUCAGUGAAUCAUCGAGUCUUUGAACGCACAUUGCGCCCCCUGGUAUUCCGGGGGGCAUGCCUGUCCGAGCGUCAUUUCUGCCCUCAAGCACGGCUUGUGUGUUGGGCCCCGUCCUCCGAUCCCGGGGGACGGGCCCGAAAGGCAGCGGCGGCACCGCGUCCGGUCCUCGAGCGUAUGGGGCUUUGUCACCCGCUCUGUAGGCCCGGCCGGCGCUUGCCGAUCAACCCAAAUUUUUAUCCAGGUUGACCUCGGAUCAGGUGGGAUACCCGCUGAACUUAAGC
This 311-nucleotide unclassified non-coding RNA is filed under the name plant metagenome. Its description in RNAcentral is "partial contains 5.8S ribosomal RNA, internal transcribed spacer 2, and large subunit ribosomal RNA". The stretch from base 1 to 104 matches the Rfam family "5.8S ribosomal RNA", at positions 50 to 154 of the family's 154-position model. The record is from RNAcentral.